ACAACAUUCGGAUCGUCGGUCUACCCAACAAUUUCAACCAGGUCGGUAGAAGAUUUUCACUUUGUCAU
This 68-nucleotide microRNA precursor is filed under the name Bombyx mori (domestic silkworm). RNAcentral describes it as "mir-2774 microRNA precursor family". It matches the Rfam family "mir-2774 microRNA precursor family". Lineage: Eukaryota; Metazoa; Arthropoda; Insecta; Lepidoptera; Bombycidae. The record is from Rfam by way of RNAcentral.